RNAcentral lists this ribosomal RNA (1372 nucleotides) under uncultured bacterium. RNAcentral describes it as "bacterial SSU rRNA". It matches the Rfam family "Bacterial small subunit ribosomal RNA", at positions 28 to 1381 of the family's 1533-position model. The record is from RNAcentral.
GAUGAACGCUGGCGGCGUGCCUAAUACAUGCAAGUCGAGCGAACGGACGAGAAGCUUGCUUCUCUGAUGUUAGCGGCGGACGGGUGAGUAACACGUGGAUAACCUACCUAUAAGACUGGGAUAACUUCGGGAAACCGGAGCUAAUACCGGAUAAUAUUUUGAACCGCAUGGUUCAAAAGUGAAAGACGGUCUUGCUGUCACUUAUAGAUGGAUCCGCGCUGCAUUAGCUAGUUGGUAAGGUAACGGCUUACCAAGGCAACGAUGCAUAGCCGACCUGAGAGGGUGAUAGGCCACACUGGAACUGAGACACGGUCCAGACUCCUACGGGAGGCAGCAGUAGGGAAUCUUCCGCAAUGGGCGAAAGCCUGACGGAGCAACGCCGCGUGAGUGAUGAAGGUCUUCGGAUCGUAAAACUCUGUUAUUAGGGAGGAACAUAUGUGUAAGUAACUGUGCACAUCUUGACGGUACCUAAUCAGAAAGCCACGGCUAACUACGUGCCAGCAGCCGCGGUAAUACGUAGGUGGCAAGCGUUAUCCGGAAUUAUUGGGCGUAAAGCGCGCGUAGGCGGUUUUUUAAGUCUGAUGUGAAAGCCCACGGCUCAACCGUGGAGGGUCAUUGGAAACUGGAAAACUUGAGUGCAGAAGAGGAAAGUGGAAUUCCAUGUGUAGCGGUGAAAUGCGCAGAGAUAUGGAGGAACACCAGUGGCGAAGGCGACUUUCUGGUCUGUAACUGACGCUGAUGUGCGAAAGCGUGGGGAUCAAACAGGAUUAGAUACCCUGGUAGUCCACGCCGUAAACGAUGAGUGCUAAGUGUUAGGGGGUUUCCGCCCCUUAGUGCUGCAGCUAACGCAUUAAGCACUCCGCCUGGGGAGUACGACCGCAAGGUUGAAACUCAAAGGAAUUGACGGGGACCCGCACAAGCGGUGGAGCAUGUGGUUUAAUUCGAAGCAACGCGAAGAACCUUACCAAAUCUUGACAUCCUUUGACAACUCUAGAGAUAGAGCCUUCCCCUUCGGGGGACAAAGUGACAGGUGGUGCAUGGUUGUCGUCAGCUCGUGUCGUGAGAUGUUGGGUUAAGUCCCGCAACGAGCGCAACCCUUAAGCUUAGUUGCCAUCAUUAAGUUGGGCACUCUAAGUUGACUGCCGGUGACAAACCGGAGGAAGGUGGGGAUGACGUCAAAUCAUCAUGCCCCUUAUGAUUUGGGCUACACACGUGCUACAAUGGACAAUACAAAGGGCAGCGAAACCGCGAGGUCAAGCAAAUCCCAUAAAGUUGUUCUCAGUUCGGAUUGUAGUCUGCAACUCGACUACAUGAAGCUGGAAUCGCUAGUAAUCGUAGAUCAGCAUGCUACGGUGAAUACGUUCCCGGGUCU